This 301-nucleotide ribosomal RNA is filed under the name uncultured bacterium. RNAcentral describes it as "partial 16S ribosomal RNA". It matches the Rfam family "Bacterial small subunit ribosomal RNA", at positions 509 to 807 of the family's 1533-position model. The record is from RNAcentral.
CAGCAGCCGCGGGAAUACGGAGGGUGCGAGCGUUAAUCGGAAUUACUGGGCGUAAAGCGUACGCAGGCGGUUUGUUAAGUCAGAUGUGAAAUCCCCGAGCUUAACUCGGGAACUGCAUUUGAAACUGGCAGGCUAGAGUCUCGUAGAGGGGGGUAGAAUUCCAGGUGUAGCGGUGAAAUGCGUAGAGAUCUGGAGGAAUACCGGUGGCGAAGGCGGCCCCCUGGACGAAGACUGACGCUCAGGUACGAAAGCGUGGGGAGCAAACAGGAUUAGAUACCCGAGUAGUCCCUGUCUCUUAUAC